AAGGCCAGAUUCAAGCAUCAGAGUCUCCUCCAAGAUUAUCAGGACUUGGAGAAGGAAACAGGAACUGUCAAGAGGAAACUACAGAUGAUGAAGCAAAAGAAGAUGACACUGAUUGCAGAAGUCCGAUUCUUGAGGAAGAGAUAUGAGUACUUAAUGAAGAACCAAUCAUCAAUAAACGACCAUUAUUCAAUUGGAGAGCCAUUGCAGCAGAAGCAAUUGAAUAAUCAAGUGGCUAACAAUAAUAAGAAGGGGAAGAAUGGUGCGAGAAGAAGAACUGCUUUGCAACCCCUCCCAACCAUCUCUGAUAUAAACCAAAAGGAAAGAAUUGAUAAAGGGACCGAUAUGCCUCGGCAGAAUUCUACUCCAAUUCCUGUUCUUGACUUAAACCAGAAGGCAAAGACUUCUUCUAGGAAGAAAGCCAAUCAACAGAACUUGACACCGGUUUUCGACUUAAACCAGAAGGAAAGAAUGUACAGUGGAAGAGAUGCUAGCGAGAGAAACAUCACUCCAUUUUUCGACUUGAACCAAAUUUCGAGGAAGAGGAAUUGCAGACCAAUUAUGAGCCACUGAGAGUUGAUGAGCUGAAGAAAAGCCUUCUUCGAGGAGGGAAUGACGACCAGCAAAACGAUAUCAAGAUUUCGGCGUGCAGGAGUAUUGGAGAUGGUCCAAGUCGAGCUGGUAAAAGAAAGAUUUCAUGGCAAGAUCAGGUGGCUUUAAGGGUUUGAGCUCAUUUUUAUCUCUAGUGUCACUUAGAACCCUACUAUCUGGGUGGUAUGCUUGAAGGCAUUUCCUUUUCCCGAAAGCCACCACAGUUGAUUGUAAUUCCUUCUCUGAUUCUGUAUUUUUCUAUGUAAAGGGAAAGUAGUAUU
This 869-nucleotide unclassified non-coding RNA is filed under the name Hevea brasiliensis (rubber tree). The record is from RNAcentral. Lineage: Eukaryota; Viridiplantae; Streptophyta; Magnoliopsida; Malpighiales; Euphorbiaceae.